GGAAGUAAAAGUCGUAACAAGAUUUCCGUAGGUGAACCUGCGGAAGGAUCAUUACAAAUCUUUUGCGAGAACUGUGUGCUGCUUGCAGUGUGCAGUGACUUGCAACAUUAGCACAGGGUCGCAAGACUCUGAUGUUUACGCUUGUUUGUUUGACAGAGUUAGUUGAGAAUUAAAUAUAGGCAACUUUUAACAAUGGAUCUCUUGGCUCUU
This 210-nucleotide unclassified non-coding RNA is filed under the name plant metagenome. Its description in RNAcentral is "partial contains small subunit ribosomal RNA, internal transcribed spacer 1, and 5.8S ribosomal RNA". The stretch from base 1 to 54 matches the Rfam family "Eukaryotic small subunit ribosomal RNA", at positions 1778 to 1831 of the family's 1831-position model. The record is from RNAcentral.